CCUACGGGUGGCAGCAGUGAGGAAUAUUGGUCAAUGGACGAGAGUCUGAACCAGCCAAGUAGCGUGAAGGAUGACUGCCCUAUGGGUUGUAAACUUCUUUUAUAAAGGAAUCAAACGGGGCACGUGUGCCUUUUUGCAUGUACUUUAUGAAUAAGGAUCGGCUCACUCCGUGCCAGCAGCCGCGGUAAUACGGCGGAUCCGAGCGUUAUCCGGAUUUAUUGGGGUUAAAGGGAGCGUAGAUGGGUUGUUAAGUCAGUUGUGACAGUUUGCGGCUCAACCGUAAAAUUGCAAUUGAUACUGGCAGUCUUGAGUACAGUUGAGGUAAGCGGAAUUCGUGGUGUAGCGGUGAAAUGCUUAGAUAUCACGAAGAACCCCGAGUGCGAAGGCAGCUUACUAAACUGUGACUGACAUUGAUGCUCGAAAGUGUGGGUAGCAAACAGGAUUAGAUACCCCUGUAGUC
RNAcentral lists this ribosomal RNA (460 nucleotides) under uncultured bacterium. RNAcentral describes it as "partial 16S ribosomal RNA". It matches the Rfam family "Bacterial small subunit ribosomal RNA", at positions 338 to 795 of the family's 1533-position model. The record is from RNAcentral.